GUGGGGAAUCUUGCGCAAUGCGCGAAAGCGUGACGCAGCAACGCCGCGUGAGGGAAGACGGCUUUCGGGUUGUAAACCUCUUUCAGUUGGGACGAAGCUCCGUCGGUGAAUAGCCGGCUGGAGUGACGGUACCUUCAGAAGAAGCCCCGGCUAACUACGUGCCAGCAGCCGCGGUAAUACGUAGGGGGCAAGCGUUGUCCGGAAUCAUUGGGCGUAAAGCGCGUGUAGGCGGCUCAGUAAGUCCGCUCUGAAAGUCCGGGGCUCAACCCCGGGAGGCGGGUGGAUACUGCUGGGCUAGAGUCCGGAAGAGGCGAGUGGAAUUCCUGGUGUAGCGGUGAAAUGCGCAGAUAUCAGGAGGAACACCUAUUGCGAAGGCAGCUCGCUGGGACGGUACUGACGCUGAGACGCGAAAGCGUGGGGAGCAAACAGGAUUAGAAACCCGGGUAGUCC
RNAcentral lists this ribosomal RNA (450 nucleotides) under uncultured bacterium. RNAcentral's name for it is "bacterial SSU rRNA". It matches the Rfam family "Bacterial small subunit ribosomal RNA", at positions 354 to 796 of the family's 1533-position model. The record is from RNAcentral.